Molecule: long non-coding RNA, 942 nt
Filed under: Fragaria vesca (wild strawberry)
Lineage: Eukaryota; Viridiplantae; Streptophyta; Magnoliopsida; Rosales; Rosaceae
Description: long non-coding RNA (FVES_LNC001479)
Source: RNAcentral
AAGCAAGCACAGGUGAAGGUUAAUUAAUAAUGUGUUUUUAUGUGAUGACCACUUUAUCCCUGUUGUGUUUAGAAAACCACAAUAUAAAUAUGUAGAGCAGAUGUCGACAAAUCCUAAAUAAACUGUGAAUGAUCGAGAACGAUCUGGACGCCCGAUUAAGCACCGACCUUCUUCAAAACAAAGUGAAAAGUUUGCAAAUUUUCUAACUGUGCAUGAUAUACUAGAAGAGAUUCUAGAAGAACCCAGACCGAAAAGAGAGUGAGAAAAACCCAGACAGAAGAGAUGGUCUACAAACCCAGACAGAAGAGAAAGUGAGAGAGAAAAGAAGAGAGCAGAAGAAACAGGGCGGAAGAAAGUGAAAGAGAAAAGAGAGCAAACGCCCGAUUCAGAUCCAAGCAGCCAAACUCAGAGCAAAAAUUUUGUAUGUUUGUUCCCGGCAAAUUUCGUUUUUUACUCCAGGUGCUCUUUCUUACUUUGGCAUUUCAGGCUAAUUCAAUUAAGCAGAGAAAGACUAUCGAUUUCCUCUAUCCAGUGUUUUCAGUAUUAUCCUUUAUACUUCAACUUUAAGCUUUUCCGCGGCAAAAAGCUACAUCUCCCAAUCUCUGUGUUGGGUUUUUGUUUGAAUUCGUUUUUCUUGAUUUCGAUUGCAGUGGUAGCAGGUUGUUCUGUGGUUCGUUUUCCAGUCCAGUACCCCUCAGUUUAAGGGAAUUGGUGAACUAAAGAAGUUAGCUGAAUUGGGCAAGAGUUUAAGGGAAGAAAAUUUUGGAUAUCCUUGGUUGUUCUCACCUGCCUUUACUCAUUUGGUAUGUCUCAUCUUUUUUUUUUCCCUCUGCAUUUGUACUGUUGUGGGUUUGGUUUUGAUUUUCUUUUCUGUUUGUUUUAAUUUGAUUAGGGUUUGGUACGUUCUACUGUAUAUGUGUUUUCAGAUUGAGCUGGGACUCU